RNAcentral lists this ribosomal RNA (206 nucleotides) under uncultured bacterium. RNAcentral's name for it is "partial 16S ribosomal RNA". It matches the Rfam family "Bacterial small subunit ribosomal RNA", at positions 1295 to 1500 of the family's 1533-position model. The record is from RNAcentral.
GGAUUGUAGUCUGCAACUCGACUACAUGAAGCUGGAAUCGCUAGUAAUCGCGAAUCAGAAUGUCGCGGUGAAUACGUUCCCGGGUCUUGUACACACCGCCCGUCACACCAUGGGAGUCAGUAACGCCCGAAGCCGGUGACCCAACCAAACGGAGGGAGCCGUCGAAGGUGGGACCGAUAACUGGGGUGAAGUCGUAACAAGGUAUC